GAACUGGCGUAGCCUAACUACAGCGGACGUAGAAUCCCGUUUAAAUCAGAUUACAAAGAUUGCAAGUAGCCUGUAACGUGAACCUACAUUGGCUUUCUUCGGCUUUCAGAUGUGAAAAGGCUUACCAGAUCAUCGACUUCAUUGUGAACCUGACACUGCCUGCACAACAAGAAGACAUCGUUGCGUACCAAGACCACCAUGCCAAACAAGCUGACUAUAUUGCGAGUGUCACUGUGGUGUUAUUCGCUUCUUCUGUUGGGUGUCUUUAUGACCAUUCUUGGACCAACAUUGCCUGACCUUCAGGACUAUUUUAGGACAAGUCUGGAUGACAUAUCAAGCCUGUUUCUCAUAUUGGGACUAUCUCUUAGCUUUGGGUGCUUGGUGUCUGUAGUUCUUAUGAAGUACCUGGAACCAUCAAAAGUGCUUGCAGUGUGCUUACUGCUGGAGGGAGUGUGUAUAAGCACAGUCACAAUCACGCCUUACUUGUGGGUAGCGUGUCUCGCAAUUGCUGGAUC
Molecule: long non-coding RNA, 515 nt
Organism: Haliotis rufescens (red abalone)
Lineage: Eukaryota; Metazoa; Mollusca; Gastropoda; Lepetellida; Haliotidae
Exons: 3
Source: RefSeq, a predicted model, not a curated record